CCUGUUCUUCCUAAGUGCUGUUCAAGUCACCAGCAGCUCAGAAAACCAUCGAACAUCGGAGAAUGGCCACUGCACACAUUAAUGCUUCCACUGCUGCCCUUUGACGGUUUUUGUACCUAUUCAUGCUGUUUCAGGUUCAGUGUUGUCAUCUCACACUGGACUCCUGUUCUCCAACAAGUGACUGUGUAAACGGGGAGGAGAGAAAUCGCAAGGUUUCUAACAAUUAUCUGCAGCUUUCUUACCAAGACCCAGUAGCCUGCAGAAGAGAACGCCUCCAAUUUCCUGCCCUCUCAUUGGCAUGGCCUACACCCUCACUGUGUGACCUCAGGGCUGCACAUUUCCCUCUGUGGACUUUCAUCUCCCUGGCUCCAGGCACAGUCAACACUCCAUUGUUUCCAUUUGCUUCGAUGUAUCAACGUAUUGACCCACGUGGGCACCAGCUUGGGUGAUAGUGGAUGAGACAGCAUCAGUAUCUUGGAGUAAGUAAGAGUUCGGCUCUGGAUCCAAAGUGCCGAGGUUCAAACCCUAAGGCCACAAAUCGCCAGGUGUGUGUGGCCCCUAUGUGGGUCACUCAAAUACCCAAUGGUUCAAUUUCCUCAACUCUUUAAUGCUGAUGAUAUUAAUUGAUGGUAAUAUUGAUGAAAUAAUAUUAAUAGGUACUAAAAGAGUUUACACUAUGUAAUUGAUGUCAGGAUUAACCAAGUUAAAAAUCUAUAAAGCACUUUGAUCAGAGGUGGUCGCGCUGAAAUUCCUCAAUCCCUGUCAGUCAUACUUAUCUUGGCUACAUUUUCUGAAAAGGAUGAGGAUGUGGCAGCAUAAAAUAAUAAAUUUUAAAAGACUUUGUCA
This 846-nucleotide long non-coding RNA is filed under the name Felis catus (domestic cat). RNAcentral describes it as "lncRNA (ENSFCAG00000041800.2)". The record is from RNAcentral. Lineage: Eukaryota; Metazoa; Chordata; Mammalia; Carnivora; Felidae.